AGUGACAUAUUACCGUGUUGAUAGAUAUUGUGUGCGUUUACUGUGUGCUUAUCGUACUUCACAUUCGUCGACUGGAUAUUUUGCGCGUUUCCGAACGUCCUCCCGCAUUGAUCAAGUGGGGGAUGAUGCAUCGUCGUUCGUCGCCACUCAGAACAGCCUCAUCGGACGGGCAGCUUUGUCUCCGCGCUCAAAAGUGCUUUCUUGCUUCGUUUAUCGAUUACCCACGUUAAUCGCGUGAUUCAGUAUCGAGUGUACCUCCAAAGACAAUCCACUUCCCAGUGUUGUGACAAGCGGCGACCGCGGUUGUACAGGAGCGGAAGCGUGAGCCUUUUGACGAGCGACUGUGAAGAAUGCAAAGCCAGUGCCAAACUUCGGUAAGUUGAAGAAAGUCGCUGAACUAAGUAACUUGGUUAUUCAUUGCGUAAGGACUGUUGUGCAGGAACCGAUAGCACGGGCGGCGUGUUGGCACAGCGAGGAUGAGAACGAGAGACCCGAUAGACAGCGAUGACAGCUGUUCACGGCACCGACACAGAGGACAUAUUGCAGUGCAAGAUAGGAGCGGUCUUCCUGCAAGCCCAGACAAGCCAUAUUGAGUGGUUUCAAAUACAGCAACUGUACCACCACGACAGUGCAGCACAAGAGACCCUAUCGUCAGUGCUGAGCCAGAAAUUAAAUAGAAAAGCGCUUUCUCCUGAAAUCUUUCGUCUGGUCUUAUUUCGUUUGUUUGUGAUUGUAAAAGAGCGCUUUCAUAGGAAAUACAAAAUUUAACUAACUAGCCCCAUUUAUUGUCCUACUGAAACUAAAUAGCUUGACAAUUUAGCGCUCGUUUACAAAUGCAUGUAUCAUAGACAUGCAAGAUUAUUGAUUGGCUUCGAAAGACUGUUACGUGUAAAGAACAAUGGUGAUCUAGUCAUUGCUCGAAAUGGUCUGCUGGCAUUUAUGUGACAAUCCUCUAAAGCGUGCACACUUUCGUAUUAUUAACCACAAAAAUAUUUAUUGACCUGUGUGCAGCAAACAUGCUGUUGCUGGCAUAAGGCCUAAGUCUGCAAUAUGGUGUUUAAUGUCAACCUAAUGCAUAUGUUCAGUUGCGUUUCACUAGACAACGGCCAUUAGAAACUCACACGUCAGUACUCCAUAGACUAACGCUAGACAAUCGUCAUCAGAAACUCUAACGUCAUGACUCUAUAGACUAACGGUGGCCAAUUACUAUUAGACUCGCAUUAGGUGUGCAUUAGAAAGCGCAUUAGACUGGCAUUAGACAGUGUAAUGAUUAUGAUGUCUAAAGACAUUAGUCUGUUUAU
Rhipicephalus sanguineus (brown dog tick) is the source of this 1301-nucleotide long non-coding RNA. RefSeq lists it as uncharacterized. The transcript has 3 exons. NCBI's taxonomy places the organism in Eukaryota, Metazoa, Arthropoda, Arachnida, Ixodida, Ixodidae. The record is from RefSeq and is a predicted model, not a curated record.